This is a long non-coding RNA of Homo sapiens (human), 922 nucleotides long. Ensembl annotates it as long intergenic non-protein coding RNA 1191. The record is from Ensembl. NCBI's taxonomy places the organism in Eukaryota, Metazoa, Chordata, Mammalia, Primates, Hominidae.
AUGUUCCUACAAGUCUUCCAGAGGAGUUCUUAAUGAUUUUGUACCUAGUCUUGGAUGCACUGAGCUGGGUCUACUCUGAGGCAGCAAGCUGCAACCCUGCCCUGUCCAGUCACCUCACUGUCACCUGGAAGAAUCCUGUUCUUUAGUGGAAAUAAGUCACAGACGUCCUCAAAGGCGAACGCUCCAGGUGCACCCCAGAGAGCUGCCCCACUAGCUCUGACUGGCUGAUGCUGUGUUUGGCUCCAAGCACUUCUUGCUAUAAAUCCACCACAGGUGUCCUUACUCUCCAUCACCCAGUCCUUUGUUCCGUCAUUGCCUCAUAUUCAUUUAGCAAGACUUCACUGAGAACUUAGAGACUCGCUGCUUCCCUGUGGGGCUACAACAGUAAACACCACAGACAGGCGCUGGUGGCGAAGACAGCCAAACAGACCAGGAAUUACAAAACACUUCGAAAAGUGCUCUGAUGGGAGAAACACAGAGUGCCGAGGGAACAUGUGGGAGAGAUGUUGGGGAAACUUCUGGAAGGAAGUGGCCAGGUGAGAACUUCAGUCAUUUUGGAUGAGUUCCUCUUCCUAUGCUCCAGCCCCACAUACUAUCUUCCAUGCAUUCUGUUGAUUCUCCGCUGUGACAUCUACCAGGCAGCAGUGAGGAUGCCAGAGUUCAUGGGUUUCUAGAAGACAAGUUUUCAACUGCAGAUACAAACAUCAGGACGUCAAUGUAUCUGCUAGGAGACACCCGGACAGUGUUGAGAACACAGAACCUGGAGGCUAAACCCCCAGCUUUCUAUGCCAGCUGAGAGUCUGUGGGCACAUUACUCAGCGUCUCUGAACCUCAUGCUCCUCCCCUGUGACAUGUAGAUUGCUAAACCCAUCUCACAGGGCUAUCUUCUGCAUUUAAAGAAUAAAAUAACACAUGAGGGGUC